This is a long non-coding RNA of Mirounga angustirostris (Northern elephant seal), 867 nucleotides long. RefSeq lists it as uncharacterized. Lineage: Eukaryota; Metazoa; Chordata; Mammalia; Carnivora; Phocidae. The record is from RefSeq and is a predicted model, not a curated record. The transcript is spliced from 3 exons.
GCCAGGAUCAACAAGUUCAGCAGCACCUCCAGCAUCUGGCAGCAGGCUGCAAAAGAAGGGCGUGUUACCAUUUUGAGAGCUGCUCUUUCGUCCUCGGAGACUUCCGCCUCGGUGCUCCUCUUCCCCGUGGUAGCUCACACCACCGCAGGCUCUGUAUUGCGCCCCGGGAGGCCCGAGCUGCCCCAGCUAUGUGAGGGGCAUGAGAUGGGCUCUGGAAAUGCUGUCGGAGGUACUCGGAGCUAGAAAGAGUAACUCUCCAGAGAGCCUGCCCCUGCUGGGGUGCAGGAAGACGGUGGGAGAAAUCAGGCCAGCUCCCAACCAGAAAAAGGCAUCCUAUAUGGAAGGAGAGAACGUUCUCUGCCCCAGCCCUUCCCUGCCAAAGAGACUAAGAAAGAGUGAUCUCCUCCUUAGAUAUGUUUUGCAGCUUGCUUCAGUUUGAAAGAGGAAACUUCUCCAAGUUUGAAAGAAAGAACAUAGAGCUUAAAAAAAUACAAUCAAGUAUGGAAGUUAUACAUCCAAAUGUUAACCGUGUUCAUGUGUAUUGGAAACAGGAAAGAUUAAUUAAACCCACAAGGCUUACUGGAUUAGAGAAACGUAAUUGGCUUCAUUGUUCUUAGAUUUCAACUCAGAUUCUACAAAGCUGGGUGUUUCUGAGCUGGAAACUGUAUAUGCUGCCACAGUCCCGCUAGGUCAGCUGACUUGGAGUAGACGGUCAGCAGCUCCCUGGUAUUUAGAGAACCAGAUUUUGUGCCUCCUGGGCCCGGGUGGUUUACGGAUGAAGCUGUGUUACACCUACACACUCUCCAACGGAACGAUAUACUCUCAGGGUGGAAUAGAAAUUACCCACGUAGCUGGUAUCUAAUAAGG